This 505-nucleotide ribosomal RNA is filed under the name uncultured bacterium. Its description in RNAcentral is "bacterial SSU rRNA". It matches the Rfam family "Bacterial small subunit ribosomal RNA", at positions 29 to 514 of the family's 1533-position model. The record is from RNAcentral.
AACGAACGCUGGCGGCGUGGAUAAGACAUGCAAGUCGAACGGGAUUAUUUUUGUAGCAAUACAGAAAUAAUUCAGUGGCGAACGGGUGCGUAACACGUGGGUAAUCUGCCGAAAAGUGGGGGAUAGCUCGCCGAAAGGCGAAUUAAUACCGCAUGUGGUGAGGGACGACAUCUUCCUGAAUCCAAAGCCGGGGCAACCUGGCGCUUUUUGAGGAGCCCGCGGCCUAUCAGCAGUUGGUGAGGUAACGGCCCACCAAGGCUAUGACGGGUAGCUGGUCUGAGAGGACGACCAGUCACACUGGAACUGAGACACGGUCCAGACACCUACGGGUGGCAGCAGUCGAGAAUUUUUCUCAAUGGGGGAAACCCUGAAGGAGCGACGCCGCGUGGAGGAUGAAGGCUUUCGGGUUGUAAACUCCUGUCAUUUGAGAACAAGGUUGCGCGGUUAACUGCCGCGUAAUUGAUAGUAUCAGAAGAGGGAAGGACGGCUAACUCUGUGCCAGCCG